AACGCACAUUGCGCCCUCUGGUACUCCGGGGGGCAUGCCUGUUCGAGCGUCUUUACGCCAGUCCAGCCUCGCUGGGUCUUGGGCGUCGCGGCCCGCCGCGCGCCCCAAUGUCUCCGGCUGAGCCGUCCGUCUCGAAGCGUUGUGGCAACCCAAAUCGCUUGCGGGAUCGGAGGGUUUGACGCCGUCCAAACACACCACACCAGGUUGACCUCGGAUCAGGUAGGGAUACCCGCUGAACUUAA
RNAcentral lists this unclassified non-coding RNA (242 nucleotides) under uncultured fungus. RNAcentral's name for it is "partial contains 5.8S ribosomal RNA, internal transcribed spacer 2, and large subunit ribosomal RNA". Lineage: Eukaryota; Fungi. The record is from RNAcentral.